RNAcentral lists this unclassified non-coding RNA (273 nucleotides) under Hevea brasiliensis (rubber tree). The record is from RNAcentral. Lineage: Eukaryota; Viridiplantae; Streptophyta; Magnoliopsida; Malpighiales; Euphorbiaceae.
GAUUGGAUGAGAAGAGAAGAGAAUGUUCAAAGGUAAGAGAAAAGUAUUCUAGUUUAUUGAUUCUUGGAAAUAUGAACUAAAUGGCCAAAAAAAAAAUUGGUUGGAAGUUUCAAGUACGUCCUUUUCAUCGGCUGAAAGUAUGAACUCUUAAAUAACAAAGAGUUAAUUUUCCUCCUUUCGCUUCUCUCAUUUUCCCAUGUUUGUUCCUUCAAGAUCACAAUACUAUUUGGUGGUUUAAUUUUCUUUCUUUCCAACUCAACUCAACUCAACUAA